Molecule: ribosomal RNA, 230 nt
Filed under: uncultured bacterium
Lineage: Bacteria
Description: partial 16S ribosomal RNA
Rfam family: Bacterial small subunit ribosomal RNA
Source: RNAcentral
AAGGGAGCGUAGGCGGCUGAUUAAGUCAGCGGUGAAAGGUAGCAGCUUAACUGUUUUACAUGCCGUUGAUACUGGUUAGCUCGAGUUGACAGAAGGCAGAUAGAAUUCCUGGUGUAGCGGUGAAAUGCUUAGAUACCAGGAGGAAUACCGAUUGCGAAGGCAGUCUGCUGCAGUCACACUGACGCUGAGGCUCGAAGGUGCGGGGAUCAAACAGGAUUAGAUACCCCGGU